AAGACCUUCUCCUGCAAACAGGACAUUCCCGGGAGUCCUUAUCUUCCCAGUACUGCUGCAGACAGACUUUACAGAAGCUGUGGCUACACUUCAGGACCACAGGAUCCCUGUAGAUUUCGUAGCACACAGGACAGGAAAUUAACUGCCGACAUUAACUGCCACUCGGGCUGACUGGGAAUGCAUAGGAGUACUCCGCUGGAGUAAGUCGUGCCGUCUGAACAUCAUGCCGUAGCUUUUCUAUGUAUAUACCUGGCAUGUCCUGCCUUAUGCCUUGUUGUUUGUGUGCACUAUAUGUAUUGUAUAAAUAAAUAAAUAAAUAUUUAUAUGUUAAAAACA
Brienomyrus brachyistius is the source of this 336-nucleotide long non-coding RNA. RefSeq lists it as uncharacterized. NCBI's taxonomy places the organism in Eukaryota, Metazoa, Chordata, Actinopteri, Osteoglossiformes, Mormyridae. The record is from RefSeq and is a predicted model, not a curated record. The transcript is spliced from 2 exons.